Long non-coding RNA from Aptenodytes forsteri (emperor penguin), 3226 nucleotides. RefSeq lists it as uncharacterized. The transcript is spliced from 2 exons. Lineage: Eukaryota; Metazoa; Chordata; Aves; Sphenisciformes; Spheniscidae. The record is from RefSeq and is a predicted model, not a curated record.
GGGCAUAUCGGCGUGCUCCAGGUCCUAUAAAAAACCUGAGGAGCAGCACAAGGUCGUUGCCUUGAAUUACUCUUUCACACUUUCUAUACUGCACCUGUCUCUGCAUCUCCUGUCAGGAGCCCCUUUUCAUUUCCACUUUUUCUUCUGGCUUAUCUGCCUUACCCUUGCACUUUUUAAUGGAUUGCUAAAGCUGAAUCCUCCCAAGACUGGAGAAGAGAGGCAGGAGACUGAUGAGCAAUCUGGCAAUCUGUCAUGCACAAAUGUCAAAACCUAGGAGGAGACCUUAUAAAGGAAAAAUGUCAUGUGUUAUGGUAAAAUCUAUCCGGUUCUGAAGAGCAUCUUACGACGCAGACAGAGCAAGCGGCUGCCCCUCUCCAGGCAGUUUUUAUGCAUUAGGUGAAGGUGUCAUGGGAUACUGCCACUCAAAAGUAAUGCUCUGCUAAAGCUGUCCGGAUAAGAAUGGGUGAUCAUUCCAGUUCCAGGAGACAACACACAUGUCCAGCUGUGUGAAAAGGAGGAGACAAAUACACUUACAAAUUCCAAAUAAAGAAGGCUUCAACUGGAAAAAUGUCCCUGUUGCAACAUGUAACUGCAUCCCCACCCUUAAAAAACCCCAGACAGAUAGUUUCUGCCUUUUGCAGUCAUUCAUUUACCUCUAUUUAACAAGAAAUCUGAGAAUAUCAUGCAGCUGUCUGCAUUCCCCUUGCAGCUGGAAUAAAUUUUUAGAUUUAUUCAGAUUAAUUUGAGACUAGAAAUAUUAGUACACCUUUACCAUUCUCAAAAUCCAAUGUACUCAUUUGACACUCCAACCAACCUAUGUUUUGUUUGCCUUCACAACUGCCGAUCAGCUUGGCAAUGGACCAAAUCCCAAGUCAGGAUGCUCCGGUGCUUAGUGAACCCUGAAAAGCACCAGAUCAGUGGGAGCUUCAGGGUAUGCAGCACCUUCCAGAAUCACCUGUUUUGGUGUCACGGAUGUUGGCAUCUUGUCCUUAAGUGGUUAACAAGGGUAUACUUGACCACAUGGUAUGCUCAGGAAGACACUCCACCCAGACACCAAUUGUUGGGCUUUUUUUAACACUUAACCCUCGUUUCUUUCCUCAGCACCUCUAGUGAUUAUCUUCCUAUGCAUUACCCUGCUUUGGUGGAUAAACUCUCAGAAGCCUAGCUCUCCAAAUGCACUGGAGAAGAAGCUGGGCUGUGAAAUCCAGGCAGCAGGAAGGCACUCCAACCCUUUUUUGUUGUUUUAAACCUUGUUGGACAUUUUGGUUUCUCUGAACUCUGGAAGCCAAUUCACAUAAGUAGGUAGAUGGAGACCUGCAAUUCCUUAUAUUAAGGCAGAGCCUCUUGUUAGUGCAUUCAUCUACAGCUAGGCAGAUUACAGGCAGGGAUUUUUUCUGUGUAAGAGAGAAAUUUAGUUUAGACUGCUUCUCUGAGGACUUUACUGUUUGGAAACAGAAACUGCUACCUAGAAAAAAAGAACACCAAAAGCAGAGGCUCAAAGCUGCUUUAUGAACCUAGGCUUAUGGCAAUAGCAGUUAGGUGUUCAAACGCCUUCUAAACAUGGCCUUAUGGACCUUCUUGUCUUUGCAUACACAGCCAUAUUUUGAACCACUUAGGAAUGUUAUGAUUUGUGGUUUGAUAUGGCCUGUGGUUUCAAAAUGAUGCUGAGCUUGUCAUUGAGGUUACCCUGGAGAGACAGACAGAUUUGUUUAGAUCGUUCUUUUCCAGUCUUUGCUAAUCUUUUCACUCUUUAGAGGACUUUGUGCAAACUGUAACAUCUAAGAGGCUUCCAGAAUUACAGAGGUCCCAAAAGAAUACAAAAGAGUACAAAAAUGCAUGGGGCAACACUGGCAAAUUUGAUCACGGGGUUCAGCUCCCCCCCACUUUCAAGACCCUUUAUGAAACUUGCAUAACCCCUUAGUCCAAUUAAAUAAAUAGUUAAAUGAAGUUACUGUAGCUUCACAGGGAGACCUAGCUUUCGGUUCCCAUUGUUCCUGUCACAGUCCUAUGCACUGAGGUGCAAGGAUGCCAAGGAAGCUGGUUUGAUCAGUGCUGCUCAGUCCCAGAAACAUAAAUUGCAGAUUUAUUGGUUUCCUUCCCAAUGUGCAGCUAUCAGGCUGAUGGCUCCCAUUGAUUCUGCAUGGAGUCCCGAAUGGUUGGCACUGCUGGGAAGUUCAGCUCUGUAUUUUGUUGGAACCAGCAUGAUUUUUUUGAAGCCUACAUUCUCUACGGUCAGUGCUCUGGAUUUCCUGAUCCCACCAUUUCCUGGUACCAAAGACUAAGGAAGAAAAAUCUGCAGAUGGUAUAAACUGGCAAAAUCAAUAAAAGUCUGGCUUGUAACCUCUCCCUACAAUCUUCAUAAUCCAAAUUAAGUUGGAGGGAUAUGAAGAAUGAUAUAAAGAUAUAAUGUUUUACAUAAAAAAUUAAUGGUAACCAUAAACACAGGCACCUUUCUCCCUGUAUAACAUUAACUGCCACCUGAAAUUAAGAAUCUUCUCUAUCUUUUUAAAAUAUUAGAUUUUUGCUAUUGCAUUAUACAGAAAAUAAAAAUGUUCCACUUGUAUUAGUUUGAGAUGUUACAUACUGAAACAAUACUCUUUUAUAGUGGUUUUAAUACAAGAUAGAUGAAUGUGUUGGAUAUUGUAUGUUUUCAAACAAAGAAAAAACACGCAAAUUAAGUGAAGGUCAAAUUUCUUGUGGUUGAACCCAUGAAGUAAAUACAGAACAUAUUUUGUUUGGAUCUUGGGGGAACAAACUGUUUUUAUGGUGAACUAGUCAUAUUACACUAAAGCAAGCACUGUGAUGUAUUGCAUUUCAAAAUCACAUAUUUAUAAAAUAGGGAAUGUACUGGCAUCCAACAUAAUGAGUCUCAAUCACAAAAACUGGAAACAAUUCUGAAAAGUGAAAACUUGAAAAAAUUCACUUUUAUUUUCUAAAUGGUAACAUACAAAGCAGGAAAAAAACCUGCACUGAAUGCUGAUGUAAACCUUCAUAUCGCUAGGACCUGAUAGUGAAAAUCUGUUUAUCAUACAUGACUUUCUUACAUGAGUCUAAGUCAGACUGGUCAUUCAGAUUGGCUACAUUUGAAACGUUCUGUCUUGCUAAACCCCGCUAACCUCCCCAUGAUCCUGGUCUUCAUGAUGCAGUAUUUUACCUUAAUUCCCAUGCUUGUGUUUCACUAGGAAAAUGUAUGAUAAAAAUAAACAUGGUACAUCAUCUUUAUUGA